Helianthus annuus (common sunflower) is the source of this 3581-nucleotide RNA transcript. It is a transcript of the gene named probable protein S-acyltransferase 22, with no coding region annotated. The transcript has 9 exons. NCBI's taxonomy places the organism in Eukaryota, Viridiplantae, Streptophyta, Magnoliopsida, Asterales, Asteraceae. The record is from RefSeq and is a predicted model, not a curated record.
UCAUCUCUCCUUUGUCUUUGUUGCCAUUUAAGUCUCCUGCAAGACUUCUCUCCCCUCUUUGUCUCUCUCAUCAAAUUAAAUUCAUAUCCACCAAACCCAUUUAUCUCCAUCAAAGCCAUUCCUUUUCUGUUGAUAGUGUUCUUUUUACUUUCUAAUGAUCAUAUGAAUAACAUAUAUUGGGUGAUUCAUUAGAUAUCAUAUGUACUUUUUUUAGAGACGUAGAUAAUUCAUUUGUUUAUCAAAUCUACUAGUAUGAUUGGUGGGUUUGAACAAAGAGAGAGAGAGAGAUUCGAUGAGAAAGAGAUCGGAGAAGGAGAUCGGAGAGAGAGAGAAAGACGGCGGUAAAGGUGGGUGUACUUCGGAGCUCCGAUCUGGUCAGCGACGACAAUAAGUUUCAGUCCGGCUUAUUAUUGGCUGCAAAUUAAACGGGCCGGUGCCGGAACCACCGGCGGCGGUGACGGUGGUUCCGACCAUGGCUGUGAUGGAGGUGAUUAGUGUGAAAUUUGGUACGGCUUGGUCUCGGUUUUGUUGGAUUGAUUACCUGUUAUUUGCCAUUUGUUCGAGUCUUUGGUUUUGCUGGAUUUAUUUACCUUUAGCUGUGUCUUUUACCAUUGCUUGAGUCUUCUGUUUGUUGGCUUCGAUGUCGACUGUUUUUUAUAGGUGACCAAUUUGCAAGCGUUGCCGGUGCUUUUUUGGUAGAUUUCGCACAGUGAACUAUGAGGGUUUUGGUCCGUUUGGAUUUUUGGGCGGUGAUGAUGCAAAAAAAAAAAAAAAAAAAACGUAUAUUUUGAUGACGAUGGCGCGGCAUGGUUGAUGGAUGGUAGAUUUUUAAACCUGCAACCCCACUUUGCAGCCUCUGAUUAUCGGAAAAAUCUGAGCCAAACUCCGUUUUUUUCAAGAAUUCAAACAUUGUUUUGAUUUUUCUUGUUGAUUUUUUAUUUUUUUUCCCAGUCGAUGAUGAUAACAAUCUAUCUGAGACACCUACCGAGUUGCGAUUUCUGGGUGCGUUCGUUUUGUGUAGAAAAGUUUUUGAGAAAAAAGCUAAAACCGUAAACUUUUUAACGUAAAACGUAAAUUUUUUAACGUAAAACGUAAAGUUUUUAACGUAAAACGUAAAGUUUUUAACGUAAAAGUUAAAACCGUAAAUUUUUCAACGUAAAACGUAAAUUUUUUAACGUAAAACGCAAAAAGUUUAACGUAAAAAGUAAAAACGUAAAACGUAAAAACUUUAACGUAAAACGUAAAAAGUUUUACGUAAAACGUAAAAAGUUUUAUGUAAAACGUUAAACGUAAAAAGUUUUACGUAAAACGUAAAAAUUUUAACGUAAAACGUAAAAAGUUUAUCGUAAAACUUAAAAUGUAAAAAGUUUAAAAAGUUUUAACGUAAAAUGUAAAAAGUGUAAAAAAUGACGCGUUAAAAAAACGUGAAAAAACGGCGUGUUAAAACGUCGUGUAAAAAACGACGUGUAAAAAACGUGUAAAAAAACGUGUAAAAAACGGCGCGUUUAAAAACGUGUAAAAAACGACGCUUGAAAAAAUGGCGCGUAAAAAACGACGCGUUAAAAAAAACGACGCGUUAAAAAAAACGACGCGUUAAAAAAAAACGACGCUUGAAAAACCCAGCGUGCAAAAACCGGCGCUCAAAAAAAUUUGUCUUGUUAAAAAAAUUUUAAUGUAAAAAUUCUUUUAAUAAAAAAUUAUUUUUAAAAAACAAAAAGUAAUAAAAUAAAACAAAAAAGUAAUAAAAAAUAAUAAAGCCAAAAUAGAGUAUUUUUACUAAAUUACCCUUUUGGAUUAAAAUAUUAAAGAAAUAAUAAGAUAAAAUGUAUUUAAUAUUCAUUUUAGUUACUUUUAAUCUCAUCCAUCCAUCUUCUUGAUCUAAUGGUUAGGAACUGGUUCUCGCGGUUUUUACAACUGGAGGUGGUUUUCAUUUUAGCGGUCCCAUAUAUAUAUAUAUAUAUAUAUAGUGUGGGGUUCAUUGGGGAACACCAAAAAAGUGGGGAACAGGGGAACACCCUUGGAUUAAGUUAAUCAAGGGCUGAGAUUAUAGAUCAAAUUUUUUAAGUCUAAAAAACGCGGAGGGGCAUUAUUGUCAUUUUGAAAAGUUUCAAUUAGGUCAUUCACAUAUCCUCCAUCGUCCCUUUCCCAUCUGCCUUCCCCACCGCCGCCGCCACCACCUCUCGCCGUCGUCCGUCCUUCACGUUUUCUGUUCAAAUACACAUGCUGUAUUUAAAACCUGAUCUGCACCACAGAAAUCGCGAUCUGUAUAGCCAUAAAAAUUACACAACGAAGGAUUAUGCUCUUUGUGAAUGUCGCCUGUGAAUCGAUUACAUGUGCAUUUGGCUUGUAUAUUUGGUGUGCUGGUGCUGAUCCAGCAGAUGCAGGGGUUUUCAAGUCCAGAAAGUAUUGUAAAACCCCCAACAGCCAAACAAAUGCUAGAAAAGAAGGGUCAAACCAUGGUGGAGAAUCGCUAACUAAAGACGCAAAUGAUGAGAGGUCUAAAGCCGUAAAAGCCACGUUGUCACCGUCUUGUUUAAUGGUUGUUUUGUGUCUGAUUCCUCGUGCUCUCACGUAUCAUUGUUCGAGUUUAGAAGAGGAGUCUUCUCAACACCAAACAAGUGAAGAUGGCAUGUUUUACUGCAGUUUGUGCGAGGUUGAGGUUUUCAAGUACAGCAAGCACUGCAGAUGGCUCAAUAACUGUGUUGGGAAGAAAAUCUAUAAGAAGUUCUUCACACUUAUGGUCUCUGCUCUUCUCGUAGUAUGGUCUAACCUCUUAUACUACAAUGGUCAACCGGGAUUGUUGUAUUGAUAAGUUGCGCCAUCGACCACGAGAGAUACAAAUCUGAAGUAGCUUCAAAGUUAGGAAGCAAUUUCAAAUUAGCUCCUUAUGUUGCAGUUGUGGCAGUAUGCACGAUUUUGGCGAUGAUUGCAACGCUACCGCUUAUCCAGCUCUUCUUCUUUCACCUUCUUCUCAUAAAGAAGGGAAUUAGCACAUAGAUUAUAUCAGAGCAUUAAGGGAGCAGGAGCAACAAGGAUUUGGGGGCCCACAAAGUCCUCAAACGUCGCCAGCUAGCUCGCUCACGGGUUUCAGCAGUGUCAGUUCUUUCAAUACUUUCCGCCAAGGCGCGUGGUGUACUCCUCCACGUCUGUUCGUUGAAGAUCAUGUCAUUUUCAAUAAGGUAUGAUGUGGUCCCACCUGAGACCAGUUCAGUUAGCUCACUAGGGAAAAAGACACUUGAUGACCCCAUCAAGAAAAAGAAUUCCACAUCCGUGAAGAUCAGCCCAUGGACCUUAGCCCGUUUAAACGCAGAAGACGUCUCAAGAGCCGCAGCAGAGGACAACAAAAGAUUGCAAAAAUGAGUAAAAACAUGCUUUGAAAGAGACACAAUUCAGACAUGUGGAUGCUUUAGUUAUACAUGUUGUCGAUGAUCUUAGUUUCUAAUAGUUUUACAUGUAAAAUAAACCAGGAGAAUCGUAAAUUCAUAUAAGAGACAUGGAUUCUUAAGUAAUACAUGUUUUACAUGCCAUAUAUCAUGUUUUUACAAGUUUUGAAUAUUCAAAGAAACUAUAUCAUUUCACAA